This 70-nucleotide transfer RNA is filed under the name Perkinsus olseni. Its description in RNAcentral is "tRNA-Asn". Lineage: Eukaryota; Perkinsozoa; Perkinsida; Perkinsidae. The record is from RNAcentral.
GACAUAGCUCAGUUGGGAAGUUCUUUGACUAUUAUUCUAAAGGCCGUGGGUUCAAUUCUCGGUAGGUUCU